This 574-nucleotide ribosomal RNA is filed under the name Parapotamonoides sp. 1 JZ-2019. RNAcentral's name for it is "partial large subunit ribosomal RNA". It matches the Rfam family "Bacterial large subunit ribosomal RNA", at positions 1808 to 2643 of the family's 2925-position model. Lineage: Eukaryota; Metazoa; Arthropoda; Malacostraca; Decapoda; Potamidae. The record is from RNAcentral.
CAAAAACAUGUUUGUUUGGAGCUAUAAAGAAUUUGACCUGCCCACUGAUUAAUAAAUUUAAGGGCCGCAGUAUUCUAACUGUGCAAAGGUAGCGUAAUCAUUAGGUUUUUAAUUGUAAUCUUGUAUGAAUGGUCGGACAAAAGAAAAACUCUCUUUAUAUUAAAUUUUGAAUUUAACUUUUAAGUGAAAAGGCUUAAAUAUUCUAAAGGGACGAUAAGACCCUAUAAAACUUUACAUUGUAAUUACAUUUUAGUUAAAUUUGUAAAAUAAAAAUUUUAUUUAGUUAUUUGUUAUGUUGGGGAGACAUAAGUAAAAUAUUAUUUUAACUGUUUUAAUAAUCAUACAAUUAUUAGUGAGUUAGUAGAAGAUCCUUUUUAAAGAUUAAUAGAUUAAGUUACUUUAGGGAUAACAGUGUAAUUUCUUUUGAGAGUUCUUAUCGAAAGAGGAGGUUGCAACCUCGAUGUUGAAUUAAAAUAUCUGUAUAAUGUAGAGGUUAUAUGAGAAGGUCUGUUCGACCUUAAAAUUUUUACAUGAUUUGAGUUCAAACCGGCGUGAGCCAGGUUGGUUUCUAUCU